AUCUCCCCCUGGGCCCGGGCCCCCUGCUGAGUGCGGGAGCGGCUCCUCUCUGGCCCGCCGGAGCUCUCCGGCCUGCCAUGCCCGGUGCCAGCUUCGCAGGGAAUGAGCGGAGGGCAGCCCCCACCGGGAGGAGCUCGGGCGGGGAGGGAGAGACGAGGGAAGCCAAGCGCGCAAGGGACUGCACGAUGGGCUUGAAAAAUCACUGCACCAGCGUCGGAGGGCAAGGGGGAGAGAGAAUCCCCGGGCUGGGCAGCCACGCCGCUCUCUCCGCCUCUGCUGCCGACUCCGGCAGCGCCCCCAGCAUUGCCCGGCCCCUCUACCCCCGAGCCCGGCUCCAAACUUUUUCAACCGCCCGCUCCCCGCCGGGUCUGAGGGAAGCCCGGGCUCGGCGGUCGCCCGGAGCCCGCGCCCCGCCCGCCCGCCCAGGAGGGAUGCUGCUCCGGGAGCUGCUGGGGCUGCUCCGCUGCUGCUGGCCCUCCCUGCUGCUGCACUGUGCCCUCCACCCGCUCUGGGGCUCCGUACAGAUCACUCAGGGUGAGCCCCAGAAGUCAUGCUCCAAGCCUGGAGCAGAGAAAGUCACAGAGAGCUGCCAACAGAUUUGCCAGUGCAGGUUACCACCACUGUUACCACCACCUCCUCCACCUCCACCGCCCCCGAGGUUGCUAGUGGUGCCAACUCCCAAAUCUACCUUUUGUCCCACUGAAGAAACCUGGUGGCCAGGCCUGGUUAUUAUCAUUGCAGUAUGCUGCGCCACGCUAGUGUUCCUCUUUGUAGUUGUCAUCAUUUGCUACAAAGCCAUAAAAAGGACUCAUGCAAAUUAAUGCAUGCAUGGUGGAGAGGUCAUUAUGGACUCUGACGCAUGAUUUCAAGCAUGUACUAAGCUGUACAGAGUUGCAUGUUCCUUUCAUUCACAGAUGUUUGGCAUGAAGAGAGCACCAAUUUGUUUGCUAAACAUCAAAGCACAGUGUGUAGCAAAUCAUACUGUAAAGCAAUGCAAAGCACUUGUUAGCAAACAAGUUUCACCUGCCACCAAGAAACCAAUGAGAAAAGAAGAGAACGGGACCAGUCAGGCCGAAUAUGCAAUGACCUCAUCUCAAAACAACAAAACAGUUGAUAACAAUGCGGUUGUAUAAUCCCCAAAACCCCACAGGAGGUGGUAAACUUUCAAAGCACACACUUGGGAGUACGCAAGGUGGGUGAAAUAAGGCAAAGAAUGGAGUUCUGUGGCCAAGGUCUUAAUUUCAGAAAUAGCGCACGCAUCAGUGAUUCAGAAGAGUAAAGCAGGCUGCUCCACAGGCUUGCUGCUUCUCCAAAAGGAGGAUAAACUUGCCCACCCAGGCUGCCUGGAGAAAAGGCCUCACAAAGGCAUAAGCAUUGCAUGCUGCAUCUCGUGAAAGCUAUGUCACGAUGCCUCACGCUUCUUCUUAUCUUCCCCCCACUUUUAAGUGUGAAUUCAAAAAAAGCUGCUGAGGUAGGAUCUUUUGAAGAGAACAUGGUCUGCCAGAGUGACAGCAGCUUAUUAUAAAUGGGUCUGAGGGCCAAGGGUGUGAGGUGUCACCUACAUGCUUCUCCAGCCUGUGCAGUUCUGUAUGCUUAUAAUUCAUUCUUAUCAUUCUUAUUAUUUCAUUAUUAAAAAGAGAACAAAGGUUACUGUAAAGCCACUGAGCAACCAAAAAUUGCAUGAACUUGUGACUUACCCCAGGAAAUUGAUCCGCGGUGUGCUGACUAUGCAGUUUCCAUGGCUGAAGACUUUGCAGGCAAAAGAAAUCAAAAUGUAAGAUUUUAGCAGUUAGCAUUGCUGUGGAAAGAGAGAUGUUAUUAAGUGGUGCUUUGAAUGUUAUUACUUCAUAAUCAUCCUCUAUUUUUGCAUCACAUUUUUUAAUCUUUAAAAAAGUUUUCCUUUGUGAAGUUCUACAUGUUUCUCUGUGUUUGCAUCAUGCUGAUUCCCCAGGGGAACACCUACAGGAAAGUUGUUUACAUCUUGACAUGAGCAUUUGGGCAGGAUUAUGUUGAAAGGACUAGCAGUGCUUUCAAGUCCUCUUCAUCCACUGAUUAGUGUUGUUUCCUGAAAGUGUUGAGUCUCCUGAACUGACCCACUGAGGACAUUGUAGUUCUGCCUUGGAGGACCACUUCUGAGGGUCUGAUAAGCUGUUUGUGCCCAUUUUAACUCAGUCUCUGAGUCCCCUGGGCAGAGACUGCUGUUGUGCCAAAUUCAGUCUAACAGCUUAGUGUUCUACUUUCCAUGAUGUGGAUUGCAGACUACUUAAAGAAAGCUGAAUCCACCCAAAUUCAUUUCACAUAAGAUCUCAGGUUAGACUCAGCAAAUAACCCUUAAGAUAAAGGCAGUGAGACUAGCCAAGAUGCUGGUCUUUCCACACCUCCUGAAAACUUUCCUUUUUUUCACACCUCCGUGUCUAUGUCUCCAUUUACCUCUGUGCUGAAAGUAGUGAUGCAGUGAAAGACAGAUUUCCACCCUGGCUUCUUGUCUGGAUAUUAAGCUUUGAUACCACUCAGUCUCCAUGUCUGUGAGUAACUCCCAGGCAGGCACCCAACCAGUCUCACUGCAGGAUGUGGCUGUGCCCUGGCUGCCACAUCCCUCAAUACUGAAACACACCGAUACUUUCAGUUUUAUAUAAGGAUGUGCCUGAACUGCAGAAACCAGACCUUGAUUUUGAACGCAUUCCUGUCUGUGGUUGGUCUGUUGCCGGGAGUAGGGCUUGGCCUGAUGGUAGAGGAAGAUGAUGUUCUGCAGACCUUCCCCAGUAUAGCUCUAGGAUGUUCAAAUCAGCAGUUUCAGCUCAGGCCCAUCUGUAGUUUUCUAUUACCUUUUGAACAAUAGGGUGUAUGUAAAUAUAAGUAUCAUUUCAAUGAUAAAAUGAAAUGCUGCUAUAUACUGCUGUUGAGGAAUAUGUGGAGUUAUUAAGUUAGCUUUUUAGUCUGUCAUCACUAUGUAAAAGUUUAGCUACAUAAAUUUAUUUUUUAAAGAUUAGACUUUCUUGAGAAGUGAAUGAAAUUACAGAAGUGAAAGGGAAUAAGUAACCCUUUGCCCAAGAGUAUGAUCAUUCCCUGCCAUACUCACGCUGUGUGCUUGCACAAGACACAGUGAUAUGUUCUUAGAUCCCAAGUGGGAUUAAAAUGACAGAAUUUACACUAGUAAAGUGUAUCCCAAAUGUUAAUUGCCUAAAGCACUAAGUCCCUAAAUACUAUAACAAAAAUAUCACAAGUAUAUUUCAGGAAUAUAUUUUAAUCUAUAACAUUUAUUUUGGUGUAGUUACUUACAUUUGCCUUUCUAUUUUUUACUGCAGUUGUUUCUGCCUAAACAUGGCAUAGUUUGAGACUGGUUGCAUGUUUAGCUGAGAGUAUAAAGUAUGAGUGCAGUUGAGUUCAGCAUGAUACGCUCAGGAUUAGCACUUUCUCCUAAAGGUUGUUGAUUUUAAUUAUUUCCUAAUACAGCUUUAAAGGCAUGUUCUGUAAGGCCAAAAUCACAAAAGGGAUUUGUAAGUCAUUAUGUCUAUCAAAAUGUGUCUGUUUUUGCAAGAAACAGUCUAAAGAGAUGGUCACGGACACUGUCUGAUUUUGAGUUUUGUCAAUGGCAAAAUGUUCUCUCUAGAGAAAACCCUGGAGCAUGACAUAACACAAAAAAACCCACCCCAGGUCCCAUGAGGUUUUCCUCAGGAGAACAUAAACAGUAAAAACUCCAUGGAGAGCAGGGAGGCAGAGCAUUUCAAGGAGCAGCACAUGAGGACUAGGAUUUAUUUUCAGCUCUGCCACUGAUCAGCUGUUUACUAGCAAGUAAUUUUGCCUCCCUGUGCCUCAAUUUACCCAUCUGUAUAAUCAAGAUAAGAUAAAAAUACCAGCUCUGUGGCAGUAUUUUGAGAGAUAAAGAUGUAGCUUAUUUGCAUAGGCAGAUACACACUAUCCUUAUAUCCAACCUGCUAUUAAAUAAAUGUAUUUGGGUACAUAAUCACCAUAAUAUUUCUUAAACAAAUAUUGUCCAGUGUGCUUUUAUAAUCCAUUGGCCACAGAAGAGCAGCAGUAGACAGGCUGAAAGCUGCUACUCUGCUUGUCCAGAGCUUUUGCUUUCAACACUGACACAGCUGCAUGGCAAAUCUUGCACAGGGUAGUGGGGUUUUUUUUGCCUUUAGAUUCCUGCCCAAGUACAGUUGACUACAUUGCACCAAAAUGUACGGUGAUCUACAGAAAGUCACUUGGAAAAGCAUACUGGAAGCAAAUGCAAGUCCUCAGAAAAGAGGGGCUAGAACAGCAGUGUCACUGAGGAAUGAUUUCUAAAGUUUGCUGGUAUGGUUUCAGGUUGUGUUUGAUGCUCUACAGACUACUUGCAAAGGUCUUCUAAAAGAGGCUUCUGUGCUUCCUUACUGAGCUAUAAUUAAAUGCAAAGGGAAAGGAACAGGCUUGAUGGGUAAGGGCUUCAUUAAGCAGUGACCCUGCAUGUGGGGAACUGGCAAUCGAAGAUGCAGCUUUACAAGCAUUUUGAGUUUCUUUUUAGCCACCAGAAUAUCAGGGGUGGAAAGGUCCUGCAUAGCUCCAUUCACAGAAUAGCCAGAUCCCCAGCAGAUGCAAAGGUGGCCAGUUUCUAUGCAGAAGCUAACUGAUCUGCUCUGACCAUCUCCAGACAGACUCAACACACUGCUGUGUUCAGUCUGAGGGUGAGCGUCAACUCAAUUUCUUCUCAAGGAUCACCACUAACAGACACACACAGGGAAUGCACUUUAAGGGCCUGAGCUGCAAAGUGUUGAGUUUUUUCAGCCCUUAGCAACACCUAGAAGGUAGAGCUGAAGCUCCAGCUCUGCCACCCUACCUAGCUCAGACCCGAUACAGCGGUGUGCCCAGGAAAGUAUCUGUACCUUGGAUAGAUGAUGCGAAAACAGACAUGGAAGGAAAGAGGAAAGGUCUAUUAAGUAUAAGAUAUAAGUAUAUUGAUAUGUAUCUAUACAGAGACCUAAUUGUCCAGUCUUGCAUGCCAUAUGGUCACAGCAUGUGAAGCGAGUGUGGGCCUCCUGCUUCAACCAGGUCAUGACCAUAGAUGCUGCCAAACAAUGGAGAAUCAGGCCUAUGGUAGAUAUGUAUUUACAAUACUCCCUGCACCUGUACAAACAGAAAUAUGUAAUUCUAAACUGCAAAAUAUUGUGUUUAAAUCAGUGCAUGAAUGUAAAUAUUCUAAGAUCUGCCUUCUUAACUGUGUACCACAUGUACAGACGAAAAUGAAUAUUGUUUAUAGGAAAUCUGUAUCAGUGGUUAAAUGACUAAAGAGAAAAAAAAAUAUCAGAAUUAAUGUUGUCAUGUUUCUCAAACAAGCCAUUAAUGUAUAUUUAGUAUUUAAGGAUAUUGCUCAAUAAGUAUGUUCCGUACCAAAAACUGUGUUGCAUAUACAGAUUGUGCAGUACCCUAUUUUAAAAAGGCACCAUAAUUAAUUUUUAUUUUAAAUAAAAAUGUACUUGUAAAAAGUU
RNA transcript from Pezoporus occidentalis (night parrot), 5468 nucleotides. It is a transcript of the gene named proline rich membrane anchor 1, with no coding region annotated. The record is from RefSeq and is a predicted model, not a curated record. The transcript is spliced from 6 exons. Lineage: Eukaryota; Metazoa; Chordata; Aves; Psittaciformes; Psittacidae.